AUGUUAAUUUGUGCGGCAGCAUCACAAUGGUUUAUCAAUAUGAUAGCUUUGGUUGUCCAAUCUAGAAAAAGAAAAAGGAGAGAAGCAAUUACAUAUGCCGCAAUUGAUGAGAGAGAUAGGAUGAGAAGAGAGUACUUUGAUAACAAAGUAUGGAAGAAUGACACAACUUGUGUGAACAUGCUUAGGCUUCGGAGAGCUCCUUUCUUUCGGUUUUGUCAACUAUUUAGAGAUCGCAAUUUGCUAAAGGACACAAUCCAUAUGUCCAUUGAGCAGCAAGUAGCAAUGUUUUUGCACACCGUUGGUCACAACGUUCGGAAUAGAGUAAUUGGUGCAAUUUCGGUAGAUCUGGUGAAGUUGUUAGCCGCUAUUUUAAAAAAGUACUCCAUGCAAUUGGUGAGCUUCGAGAUGAACUUAUUAGGAAGCCUUCAUUGGGGACCCAAAAGAAAAUAG
Molecule: ribosomal RNA, 450 nt
Filed under: Triticum aestivum (bread wheat)
Lineage: Eukaryota; Viridiplantae; Streptophyta; Magnoliopsida; Poales; Poaceae
Description: partial small subunit ribosomal RNA
Source: RNAcentral